GAUGAACGCUGGCGGCGUGCCUAAUACAUGCAAGUCGAGCGAACAGACGAGGAUCUUGCUCCUCGGACGUUAGCGGCGGACGGGUGAGUAACACGUGGAUAACCUACCUAUAAGACUGGGAUAACCUCGGGAAACCGGAGCUAAUACCGGAUAAUAUAUUGAACCGCAUGGUUCAAUAGUAAGAUACGGUGUUGCUGUCACGUCUAGAUGGAUCCGCGCCGCUUUAUCUAGUUGGGAAGCUAAAGGCCUACCAAGGCUACGAUGCGUAGCCGACCGCAGAGGGUGAUAGGCCACCCUGGAACUGGACCACGCUCCAUACUCCUGCGGUAGGCCGCAGUCGGGUAUCUUCCGCAAUGGGCGAAAGCCUGACGGAGCAACGCCGCGUGAGUGAUGACGGUCUUGCGAUCGUAAAACUCUGUUACGAGGGAAGAACAAAUGUGUCAGUAACUAUGCACGUCUUGACGGUACCUAAUCAGAAAGCCACGGCUAACUACGUG
Molecule: ribosomal RNA, 497 nt
Filed under: uncultured bacterium
Lineage: Bacteria
Description: partial 16S ribosomal RNA
Rfam family: Bacterial small subunit ribosomal RNA
Source: RNAcentral